AAGGCUGCCUGCGGUGGGACUUUGAGAGGGGAGCUGAGCUUGAUGCAAAUAUUCUACUCUAAGGGUUCUUCGGUUACUAAAGGAGCCAUCACCAUUACCUAAAGCCAAGCAGAGGGAGAUAACAAACAAGUGACUUAGCACUUCUCUCUCUCUCUCUCUCUCUCUCUCUCUCUCUCUCUCUCUCUCUCUCUCUCUCUCUCAUCCCCCCCCCCCCCCCGAGAUAAACUAAGCGAGAUAACUUUAAACACACACAGGCUCACAGGAAAACCUGGGCUGCCCGGACCCCGACACUCAGCACGGCAGCUCCCUGCGCCACUCCUGGAAAAUAAUGACUUGGGUAAGGAACAGUUAAUAAGAAAAUGUGUCUCGCUAACCGUGCACAGCACAACAAAGAGCUGGCAGCCCCUGAAGGAAAAGGGCUUGUGCGGCUGCCGUUCAAACUUGUCAGUCAACUCGUGCCAGCAGCCUCAGCGUCUGCCUCCCCAGUGCACCCUCAUUACAUGUGUCUGUCUGGCCUCAUCUGUGCAUGGGCUCUGAGCCGCUCCGCUCCUGACAGUUCGGAAUUCUCUUCCUCUCUCCCUGCUGCAAAGAGCGGAUUUCUCUCCGUGUCUCUUCUGUCAUCUCCAGCUCCCCUCUCCAAGGACGCACCUUGAUUUAUGGUAGCUUUGGACUUCCUUCAGCGUCUGCCUGUCCUUGACUUCUAGAAUGGAAGAAGCUGAGCUGGUGAAGGGAAGACUCCAGGCCAUCACUGACAAAAGAAAGAUACAGGAAGAAAUCUCACAGAAGCGUCUGAAAAUAGAGGAAGAAAAAUUGAAACACCAACAUCUGAAGAAAAAAGCCCUGAGGGAGAAAUGGCUCCUGGAUGGAAUCGGCAGUGGAAAAGAACACGAAGAGAUGAAGAAGCAAAAUCAGCAAGACCAGCACCAGACCCAGGUUCUAGAGCAAAGCAUCCUCAGGCUUGAGAAAGAGAUCCAAGAUCUUGAAAAGGCUGAACUGCAAAUCUCAGCCAACGAAGAGGCAAUUCUGAAGAAGCUAAAGUCGAUCGAGAAGACCACAGAAGACAUAAUAAGAUCCGUGAAGGUGGAAAAGGAAGAAAACCCAGAAGAGUCAAUCGAGGACAUCUAUGCUAAUAUCCCUGACCUUCCAAGUUCCUACAUACCUUCCCGAUUAAGAAAGGAAAGAAACGAAGGACCAGAUGACGAACAAAACAGAAAAGCUUUGUAUGCCAUGGAAAUUAAAGUUGAAAAAGAUUUGAAGACUGGAGAGAGCGUAGUUCUGUCUUCAAUACCGCUGCCAUCUGAUGACUUUAAAAGCACAGGGAUAAAAGUGUAUGAGGACCGGCAGAAAUCAGUCUAUGCUGUUAGCUCCAAUCAGAACACAACCUACAAUGGCACCGACGGCCUCGCACCUGUCGAAGUGGAGGAUCUCCUAAGACAAGCCUCAGAGAGGAACUCUAAAUCGCCCACAGAGUACCAUGAGCCAGUGUACGCCAAUCCGUUUUGCAGGCCUGUGACCCCACAGAGAGAAAGAGUCAUAAGCCCUGGACCAAAUUUUCAAGAAAGGAUAAUGAUGAAAACGAACGGACUGGGCAACCAUGCAAAUGAAUCUGCGCACAAUAUGACCGACGGGCUCUCAGAGAGGAGAAGCAACGGUCCCACUCACACCAGUCCCACUCGGCCAACACCUCAGCCCCGAUCAAUGGUUCAGCAAGUGGAAGAGAUGGUCCACACCCAACAAAAGAGGAUGGCAAGCCCUUGGGAAGAAUCCAGCAACAGGCAAAACGAACACGAAGUUUCUCCAAGGAUGGAACUGAGCCCCAGCAGAGCAAGCCCUGGGAAAUCGGGACCCCAGUGUUCUUCACCCACUUGCCAGGAGGAGACAGAAGAUGUCAGAUAUAACAUCGUUCAUUCCCUGCCUUCUGAUGUGGAUGACACAGAACCUGUAACAAUGAUUUUCAUGGGGUAUCAGCAGGCAGAUGAUAAUGAGGAAGAAAAGAAGCUUUUGACAGGCUACGACGGGGUCAUCCACGCUGAGCUCGUUGUGAUUGAUGACGAGGCGGAGGAUAAUGAAGGACAAACCGAGAGGCCAUCCUACCAUCCCGUAGCUCCCUACAGUCAGGUUUACCAGCCACCCAAACCAACCCCACUUCCUAGAAAGAGAGCGGAAGUUAGGCCGUAUGAAAACACAAACCAUAAAUCUCCUCACAAAAAUUCCAUCUCUCUGAAAGAGCAAGAGGAACGCUUAGGCAGCCCUGCCCGGCACUCUCCCCUGGAUGUCCCAGUAGCUGGAGACGGGACUGAGGAUCCUUCCUUAACAGGUAAUAAAAAUGACAAGGCAUGCCGCUGCUGUUUACUAAUGUGACAGUCUUCUCCGUGCUAAUGAACGCUCUGACUUCCGGUGUUUGUGACCACCUCAUAAACUAAUACACACUGGAUAGCUUUUAUUAACGCUGAUCCGAAGUAUUAUCAGCAGAGCAAAGUAAGUCGCAUCAAAAAAAUAAUAAUAAUAAUAACAACGAAAGUGGAAACUCCGUCUUGCUUUGUUUUAAUAUUGCAUUGGCUGCCUCUAGCUACUGGAGAUGUAUGUGUCUUCUGGGAGGGAGCAAUGCCAUAUGUAUUCACAUUGGGGUUGCUAAUUAAUGUGCUGAUCAUCAGAAACAUACUUUUCACAGCAGAAUCCAAUGACAACUACUUUCCUGUGCCUCUCUGUGACUUAAAUUUUACACGUAAGUUAACAAGUAGCCUUAAUUUUAAAAGGAAAUAGGAGACACAUACCAUUUUCUUUGCAUUUUAUUACUCUGCUAUAUCUCCUUUCUCUAUACUUUUAUAGGUUUACUAAUGUUGGUUCUUUCAUUUUCUACACUUUAAAAUUUUUAUCUUGCAUCAUCUAUGACUCAAUUUUUCAUAGUCUUCUCCAACUUGAUGUAUUUUUUUUUCUAUUUUCUAUACAGCCGCAUUUCACAUUCUCUAUGACUUUUUAUGGCUUUGUAUCUCUUGAGCUAUUUUAUCAUUGAAUAAUGAAAAGUAACUGCAACACCUUUUUUUCUACACACUGACAGCUCCUCGAUUUCAAAUUCCUUGUUAUCACUCAGAUAUCGAGACCUAUUAUCACUGAUAGAAAAAUGAAUAAGAAUCUGACAAACACAAUUAGAAUGACUGGGUUUACCUUAGCUAAAAGUCUAAGUCAAAUUACACAAACGCACAGGUUCUAAACAUUAGAAAUGCAAAGUAAUUGUAAAUGUUGCUAAUUGAAGAAUGAUCAUUAAAAAGCAAUAGCUAUUAAGUACCAGCCAUCUGAGCAAGUUGAACCUGGUAGUUUUAUAGAAGUGGGUUAGGACCUCUGCAAUUCAAGAUCUUUCUCCCUCAUCGAGCCAUAAGCCCAAUCUUGUUUUGCUAAUAACACCAUAAUAGAGACAUCCUUAAAUUAUUUAAAGUCCUUGUUAGGUGAAUCCAUCACAAAUUUAAUCACCUGAAGGAUUUCUACCCUCCCUCAUGUGUCUUCCUCAGAAUCUGGAAUAACGUUCCCCCACAAUGGAAAGCUGCAGAGACUAAGGCCCUUUCCUUUUGGAGAACUGGCUUUGAUGGCUGGUCAAAUGCUUCUUUUGAAAUUCAUUCUUAAAACAAUGCAUGUAACAUAGGGGAAGGAUCGCUCUAUUUAUGGUCUGAAGUAUUGGCAUGACACACUAAAAACAAACAAACAAAAAAAAAAAAACCUCCCUGUUUUGAUGUUGGAUUUUAGCCAGCUCUUCCAAAAACCCCCUACUCCUUCUUCCCUAACCAUAUUAACACAUUUACCCCAAGUAAAAUGACAGGAAGUGACUAACAUUUCCAGACAACACUAAUCAUGCUACUGAAAUAAAAUUAUGAAAACAGGAAAACCUAUUCCAAAGUAACAAUGCAAAGUCUUGUGCUAUCAAACUAAGUAUCUUGUGAAGAGAAUGCUCCAAAUUCCUUACCCUUCAUUGUGAAAUUGUUUUACGUCUCUGCCUUCCAAUUCGUCACAUAGAUCACAGAGUGGAGGUAUUAGUUUGAAUGAGCUUUAAAAAUAAGUCAAUCAGGGCUGGUGAGAUGGCUCAGUGGGUAAGAGCACCCGACUGCUCUUCCGAAGGUCCGAAGUUCAAAUCCCAGCAACCACAUGGUGGCUCACAACCACCCGUAAUGAGAUCUGAUGCCCUCUUCUGGAGUGUCUGAAGACAGCUACAGUGUACUUACAUAUAAUAAAUAAAUAAAUCUUUAAAAAAAAAAAUAAGUCAAUCAGAUUAUAUCAAUGAUUUCAGGGACCAACUAUGUACACUGAGAAUGUAGCUACCUAUGGACUUUAAUUUCACAAGUACAUUGUACUUUUCAACAUCACACAUACACACGCAUGCAUACAUAUACAUAUACAUAUACAUAUACAUAUACAUAUACAUAUACAUAUACAUAUACCAGAGAGAAAUGCUACAAUACUUAAAGACCCACAAUUUAAGUCAAUUCCUUUAUUAUAAUACAGAAUUCCUAUUAAAUACUAAUAGUUAUGGUAGGCACAAUAAUUAAGAAUUGUCUCUUUCCAUUUGUUGUAAAUAUACUUAUCAAAAUCUUAUCUCAAGAGACAUUCGUAGGAGUGGGGAAUAUAACACAGUGGGUAAGUGCACUUAUUCUACAAAAUAGGGAUGUGAAUUUGAAUUCCAACCACCCAUAUCAAAAGCCAUGGAUGUGCAAGCCUGUAACACCACCAUUGCAGGAGCAGGGACAGGCAGAUCCAGCAGUUCACUGGCCACCCAUCCAGCCAAAACAGUGAGCUUCUGCUUCAGGAAAGCCUCUGCUCCAAGGUAACAAGGCACGGAUUAAUAGAUAAGGCCACUUGAUGUCCUGCUUUGGCCUUCUGUGUGCAGCAUACGCAGUGCAUGCAUCACACAGAGAGAGACAGAGACAGAGAGAAAGUCAGAGACAGAGUUUCUCACUUGAAAAGCUAUGUUAGUAGAAACUAGUCCAGCAUGGAUAGUCUAGCAACAGUAUAGUUUAGUAAAAUUUUGAACACUGUGAAACAUGACAGAAAUCUUAUGUCUAUCUGCUUGUAUAAGCAUGAUAUGAUCCAGACUCACCCACUAUUAUAUGGCUUCAGUAAGCGCUCCAUGAGAUCACAGUAACCCUGACAAUAGCAACUACACAGCUUGCUUUCUUUGGUAGACCUCACACACCUAUUCUUCUCCCGGCUCAGUUCUGUGAUUGUAGAGAUAUCAAUGGUUCUUCGGGAUGAAGAGGCAGAAAAACUUUAGCUCUGGAGCACUCGCUCCCCCAUUGAUUGGGAAACAGCCAGUAGGGGUCACAGGAGGCUGAGCAUAAAACACAAAUCUCUCUCCCACCAAUUUAAGCAGCUAAAACUGUGUGUCUGAGUGGUUGGAGGAAAUCAAGACUGGGAUCAGAGAAGAGCAGAGAAGAGAGGUCAAGAGGAGAACUGAAGGCACACUAUUAGAGGAAGCAUCCUUGCAUUGACUGAGCAUGCUUCCUCUCCACACCUCCACCUGGAAUUAUGGCUACUGCCACAGGCUUGGAGAAAGGGAUCCGAGUGCUAGCUGACCUCACUGCAUGCCCUGCGACACAGGGAGGGCUCUAUUUGCAGACUCUCAAGAUGGGGCAUAACUAACUGUAGGGAACAAGAUUCUGACCCUGUCUUAAACAGACCUUUAAGCAAUCCGUUAUCCCUGCUCUCUCUCAGCAUUGGUAAUGCAAGAGGACACAAAACCCACGAUCAGCCCCCCUCAUGAAGCCUUGCCUCCUGCCUAUUCUGCUGUGGGGUUGCAGGUUCUUGCCCAGAGGCCACCACCCAGCAGCUUCCAGCAACAGAGCCCACCCAUCCUGCUGACUGGGCAAAGGAAAUUCUCUCAAGACAGCCUGAACGCUGGCUUUGCUGUUAGUAGUGACUUGCCUCGUCACUUUCAAGUGAAAGCGAUGCUUUUAACCUCUGUCACAGAGAGAACAUGGCAUUGAAAAUGACCUCAUGACAGUGGCAGGUCCCCAUCCCUUCUCAUAUUUUUGUAAAAGGCCUUCUGAAGAUAGGAUCAUUGCUUUGGUUGAUGGGUAACUAUGUGCAGCAUAGAGAUGGGGAGAAAAAAAAAACAUGCCUUCUCUUACUGUUUCAUUAAAACAAAAUUGUACAAUUAGCUAAAUGGCUGCUUCUUGGGCCAUUUUACACACAAAUGUAAUAUUGCAUAAUGAAUAUAAUCAUUUGCUCAAUGCCUUGAAAGCACCUUAAAACUUUUAGAACAUGACAGAGGCAGCUAUACCCAAAGGCCCUCGGUAUUGAGGUGUAAUACCAGAACACCAAAUGAGUGCUAUCAAUCCCACACCUACAGUUUUAAAAGGCUUCAUCAGCAGUAGAGCACACUCAAAGAUACAGCUGCCAUUCAAAAGCAUAAUUACACACUAACGCUUAAUUAUUAGUUCAUCUCAUUUCAUACAUAGAUUUAUUCUUGUCAUUGCCCAUCCAAAGGUCAGAGGGCCUUUGGACAACCAAGCUUAAUGAUAUUAUUUUAAAAUUUUUAAUCACUAAUCAUAGUUUAAGUAUGAGUAUCUUUGUUUUGGUUCAGUGGUACAAAGCUAAGGAUAUGCACAAAAGACAGAUAUUGACGUAAAGGAAUAUAUCCAGGCUGAGAGUGAAAAUACACGCCAUCAGCCUGUGCUGGGUUUGUUCUGCUCGUUUUUCUGGCCUCUGUAGACAUAGGCUCCUCCUAGUUCUGAACCUACACCUGUCCUAAGUUAACCAUAGCUCAUUAUUUCUGCUGUCUCUUUACGCUACUAAAACAAUGCUCACGCGGUUGGAUAAAACCAUCUGAGCUUUAAGAAUAAGAAUGGCCAAGCUGGGGAAAAAGGUGAUCUGAGAGCCGUGGUGCCCACCUGAAUAACCUCUGAAGGAGAAGCCACGAAAUGCCUGAAAACUUCUCUUCUGAAUUCUUUUAUUUCUUGUCCCUAAAGUCCAAAACUAUAUAAUUAUACCCAUAGUAAGUCACAUAAAUAAAUAUUAGUCAUUAUUUAGGGGGGAAUCCCCCCUCAAAAAAAACUGGGACAACAAAUGCUAACUUUUCCAGUUACUUGAUAUGACUCAGUGGGGCCGGGGGAACCAGUAUAUUUUUAUUGUAUUGAUACCAAAGCAUUUCUAAUAAGAGCUUGUUGAAUUUAAGAAUAAAGUUAUUUAAAAUACCUUGA
Mus musculus (house mouse) is the source of this 7184-nucleotide RNA transcript. It is a transcript of the gene named palmdelphin, with no coding region annotated. NCBI's taxonomy places the organism in Eukaryota, Metazoa, Chordata, Mammalia, Rodentia, Muridae. The record is from RefSeq and is marked validated. The transcript is spliced from 8 exons.